UCCCAUUGAACCCGGCUUGGGGUGGUCGGCUAAAGUACAGCAUGUCUUAAUCAGGACUUUGAAUUCAUGUGCAGAAAAGUUUAGGAGUGUGGAGAAGUUGUGCAUGUUGCAAAAUGUGCUCAGUGUGUAUGUGGAGUGUAUGUGUGUUAGUAAAGCAGAGGGAAAGAGUGAGCACAAGGAGAGAGGUGAAAAAGAAUUGGUGGAGUGGAAUAGUGAUGGGCACGGCAGUUCUUUUAGGUGUACUGUUUCACUAGAUUCAGUUCACUUAAAAGAUUUGGUUCUUUUUAACGAAUCGUUCGCAAACGACACAACACUAGAGUGGAAGUCUGUUCGUAUUUCUGUUCAUGCUUCCUCCAGCAGACUCUGUGGAUGUUUUGUAAAGCUGUUAUUGUACGUUUGGACAUGCUCCUACUGUGGUGUAAUCAGUCAGCGUAUCGAGGUGCAGUAAGGCCAUGUAGAUUACAUUCUAAUGUUGAUGAGCUCUGCAAACACAAGCAGCACAAAGAGGACUGUGAAAGGACCUUUUGCUUUUUAGCAUUUCACGCAUGAUGUAGAUUUUCUGCUCUUCAGGGUAGAGGCUGAACUGCUGAUAAGAGAAACUCCUCUGCAGGGCCUUUUUUCAUGAUUUCACACCAAGCGUUCUGGUUGGUUGUUUAGGAAUGUGUAGCUUAGACAUGUGGAAAAAUACCACCUUCAAUCAGACCCAGACAAAAUCAAACAGGUUCAGAUCAAACCUAUCAUCAGCUGCUGGACCUCGUCUCCGACGUUUGCUGUUAUUUUCUUUGAGCAGAGACAGUCUUCUCUGUUUUUUUUUUUUAAAGCGGCUUUAUCAUUUUGGAAGGUCAUCUUUCUCCACAAAGACCAAACUCAUUAAAUUCAUCAUGCAGACAGGAAGAGUUUCAGGCUUUGUUUAACGGACCCCAAGUCUGAUUGUCUGUCUGGAAAUUAGCAAUCAAGAUCUGAAGACAAAGUGAAUCUUUUCAGGCGAAAUAAAAGAGAGAAAUUACACAUUCAGGUCUUCGUCAUCCAGGUGCAGAAAUCUGAAAGCUGGGAGUGAGUAUUAGUUGUGUUUAUAAAAACCCUCCUCUGGUCUUCCUCCCUUGAGUUGCACACUUUUAUUAUCAAAACGGUCCAGGGAUGAUGGGAUUUCCAAUCUCUCCCAUGCAUCACGUUUUAUUGAAGCACCUGCUUGUAAUUGUUGGAAAGUGGACAGGUGUGAAAGAAAGUUGAGUCUUUUUUGUUCCUGUGUGAGCCUUACUUAGAAUUUAAUGAUGGGAAAAAUCUUUAGAGCAGAGCAACAGCUGUUCGACUGUAUGCCCAAGUCAGGUGUAAUAAAGACCGACAGAGGAGGGAGGCUUUUCGUUUCUUUAGAAGAAUCAGUUCAGAGAAUUUUUUUAUCAGACGGGUCCUUCAAAAGCUUUGAGUUAAAUUUAAAAACCAUAAUAGUAAAAAUACACAACAGCAAAAACUAUAUUUCUGUGUUCACCUUGACUACAUUCUGGUCUAAUGGUACCAGCCAAGAUCUGACUUUGCGAAGACCCAAUCAGGGUUCUUCAAAAUCCCCAUACUGGGUUUUCAAAACCCUUCCUCCAUUCAUUUUGUCACAUAAAAAACAGUUAAAACUACAUUUAGGUGUCCACGGUACCAUCCUACAGUACCAGCCAAGUCCCUGCUUUCUAAAAAUCCAAUUUGGGUCCUUCAAAAGCUUUUAAAUCUAACAGCUUUAUAAACCAUCCUUCAAUAAAUCGUGACACAUGAACAUUAAAUUUAACUAUAUUUUGGUGCUUAAGUAGACCAAGUUUGACCUUUUUAUAGUACCUACCAAGUCCCUGCUUUCCAAAGAUUCAAUUUGGGUCCUUCAAAAGCUUUGAGUUAAAUUUAAAAACCAUGACAGUAAAAAUACACAACAGCAAAAACUAUAAUUUGGUGUUCACCUUAGCUACAUUUUGGUCUUAUGGUACCAGCCAAGAUCCAGCUUUGCGAAGACCCAAUCAGGGUUCUUCAAAAUCUCCCAACUGGGUUUUUAAAACCCUUCCUCCAUUCAUUUUGUCACAUAAAAGACAAUUAAAACUACAUUUAGAUGUCCAUGGUACCAUCCUAUGGUACCUACCAAGUCCCUGCUUUCCAAAGAUUCAAUUUGGGUCCUUCAAAAGCUUUACAUUUCAAAGCUUUAUAAACCCUCCUUCAAUUUAUCGUGACACAUGAACAUUUAUAUUUAACUAUAUUUUGGUGCUUAAGUAGACCAAGUUUAACCCUUACAGUACCUACCAAGUCCCUGCUUUUCAAAGAUUCAAUUUGGGUCCUUCAAAAGCUUUGAGUUUAAUUUAAAAACCAUAACAGUAAAAAUACACAACAGCAAAAUCUAUAUAUUGGUGUUCACCUUAGCUACAUUUUGGUCUUAUGGUACCAGCCAAGAUCUGGCUUUGCAAAGACCCAAUUGGGAUUCUUCAAAAUCUCCAAAUUGGGUUUUCAAAACCCUUCCUCCAUUCAUUUUGUCACAUAAAAAAACAGUAAAAACUACAUUUAGGUGUCCAUUGUACCAUCUUAUGGUACGAGCCAAGUCCCUGCUUUCCAAAGAUUCAAUUUGGGUCCUUCAAAAGCUUUAAAUUUAAAAGCCUUAAAUUUAAAAGCUUUAUAAACCUCUCUCAAUAAACCGUGACACAUGGACGUUAAAUGUAACUAUAUUUUGGUGCUUAAGUAGACCAAGUUUGACCCUUACAGUGCCUACCAAGUCCCUAUUUUUCAAAGAUUCAAUUUGGGUCCUUCAAAAGCUUUAGAUUGGGCUUUAUAAACUAUCCUUCCACUUAUGAUACAUGAACUAUAGAUAGGACAAUAUUUUGGUCUUUAAGUAGAUCAAGUUUGACCCUUACAGUUCCUACCAAGUUCCUGCUUAGCAAAGGCCUGGUUCAGGUCUGGAUCAGAGCCUUUUGCCACAUUGUUAACAGGCAGAGGUGAAGUUUAUCACAACCCCUUUCAGACUGAUUUGAUAUGAUGUGAUCAGGUUGUGCACAGUUCUUAUGGGGUCAGUCGGAGCCGGGUGUUUAAGGUGAGACUGUCAUUUAUCGUUUCAACUUUGCGUUGACAGAAAAGCCAAAGAUCUCCUGAAAUAACUAAACUACGUUCUCUCUUUAUGUGGACAGGCGAGGCCGAUUCUGACUUUUAAAUACCCAUAAAAGUUUUGUAAGUCAUCUCAUCGAUCCUUUUCUGACCGCUGAAAAAUAGCACUCACCUCCUCUGCUGCCUCGACUCCUUCAUCUCUCCGACCAAAGCCCUCCAAGAGCACAAACAAACUCUCCUCUUUGCUGUCUUCCCUAUAAAUGUCCAUAUUGAUCAGAAACUCCUACUUACUACUUACAAAGCAACACAGGGCCUUGUGCGUCAGAGUGCUGCUGCUCUGAUUUAUUUACUACUUAUCAGCCCACCCAUACUCUGCACUCACAGGAUGCCUUGUCAUCCUCUCUUAUUUGAAAUUAAACAGCCAGGAGCAAAGCCUUGGCUCCUUUAUUUUUCACCCUAUCUAUCCUUAACGGACCCGCAGUCUAUCAUCUCGCUUGCAUGUGACCGCAUGGCUCUGAAGCUCAUAAACUGUGAAGCAAAGGAUGGCUGAUCUGAUGGUCACUGCAGCUGAGGCAGAAAGUAGCCGGUCAAUAAAGCCAGAGAGUGAGAUGCUUCUCUGAGAGAGUUACAGAAAGGUGUAGGGGUAACGGUAAAAACCAUACGUCUGAGCACAUUUCACCUGUCGCUCUGUCUGAGUGUGUUUGGGUGCGGUGUGAGGACUCUUCAGGCCCCUCUGGGGACAGAUAAGCACUUGUAAAAAAUGAGCUCCCAUUACUCAGAAUAUGAGUAAUUAUUGGUGUUAUGAUUUCUUCUUGCAAUCUGAAAUGUUGUUUACCCCCAGAUUUAUAUCGAUCCGUCUACGUGUGGACAAUUUAAGACAUAAGAUUCCACUUAACAAGAAUUGCCUCUCGCUUUAAUGUCAGUCUGUCCACAUAUGGGAACGAUGGGGACCAGUUUCUGGAGUUUUAAAAGUCAGACGUACAGACACCAGGACUCUCCUACAACUGAGCCAUGCUGUUGUAAAUGCAAGCAGAAUGAUUUCGUGUCCAUGCGGUGACUUCCACUACAGAGUUAUGCUUCUUUUUACUCAAAGGUGGGGUAGGCAGGAUCUGAGGAAGUUCCAGUUUUUGGGAGAAAUCGUGAAUGUAAACUCUAAACUCUACCCCUCCCAACCAGUUUUCCCCUCAGCUCCUCCUCUCUGCUCCAGCAAACCCCGCCCACAAACAGACGCUCCUGCUCGCUCGUAUCGUUUUAAUUAAAUUCAGAUUUAAUGCAGAUAAAUACUUCAGAUAAUUACAAAUGGGGCCCAGUCAAUGUGAAAGUAAACAGCAUUGGUGCUACUGUAGAUGCCAACAGACUACCAGCAAACACAAUGUUUGCAGGACUUCUAAAACAAGGAUAAAGUGACAUAGUCCAGGACCCGAGUUAAACGGUUUAGCGGCGCUACAACACGCAGCAGGUCCGUUUGACAAGAAACACUUCUGUUACAGACACUUGUCUUACUUUGUUAAAGCGGUUUACCUGUCCAGCAGAAAGGUUACAGGGUCUGUAAAGCGUCCCCCAUGAUUGUCGACCCGGCUUCUUAGCUCUUGUCCCGUCUACCUCCGUUUUAAGCGCCCGUUAUUCCUCCAGAGUCUCCGGUAUUUAGUUCGUUUUCUUGCUUGUGUCGGCAGUCGUGGCUAAAGGAGGAUUCAGACAAUUUCCCGAACUUUCUGGUCGGUUUCUUUUGUCCGAUAUUGUAGCACGCUAACUUUGUUUGGGCUCCUGAAUGACAGGGGAGAGCAGCUUCCGUCUCACAACCAAUCAGGUCGGGGAAGCGGAUAAUGGCUUUGUUUACAGUCAGAAAGAGAUUUUAAAAUGUUGACCACACAGACAUAAAAAAACACAGUGAUAUCGUUAUAAUACCAAAUGUCAUCAAUAACUAAUAGCUAUUGACUGAUAUUAAAGCUUUUUUUUUAUAUACACCACAAAAAAAGAUGCUUCUUUUUUUUCCAGUGAUAGAUUUUCUGAAUCACUGAAUAAAAUUUUAAACGUUUUCUGCGGUGCUUGAGCAUUAAAACUGAAUAUUUAAUCAUGUUAAAUCAUCUUGAAAUUACCUUAUAAAAUCGCAGUUAUUUACCAUUGAAUGUAAAUAACUGUAAAAAUGGAAUCAGGGUAAAAGAUUGGACAAGGAUUCCCCCGAUGUACUCCAAAACCAACCCCAGGAUCAGACUUUAAAAAUACCUUUGAUAUUUUGUCAGUGCCUCCUAGCUAGACCACCUGACAUGUAUUUUUACUAUUACAUGAGUUCACAGUGAAAGCCAGAAGACAUCAGUAUUCAGGGCGGCGCGUUGAGCUGUUAUGGGACCACUGGUCAGACAUAAUGAAUGUGUUUGAGACCAGACUUCAUGUAAAGUGAAUGUGGGAAAAAAUGAAGUUCGCUUGACCUCAAUAUAUUCCCCCUCAGCUCCAGAAAAUUGCUUUUAGCUUCGGUCCUUCCACUUGAUAUCUUUUUCGCCAAUCACAAAGAUCCACCGAGUGUCCUCUGUGUCGCUGCACCGUCAGCGCUGCUGUCCUGGCUAAGAUUGUGCUUAAGAGCAUGAUGCACAUGUGCCAAGUCAGCAGCUGUCACCGAAAAAAGUGAGGGAGGCCGCAGUAUGAAAAGAAAUCUGUUCCAGCUUGACACUUUUUCAACUUGCAAGAAUGGCAAAAAAAACACGGUGGAGUGGAGUGGCAGAGGGGCCCAGUGGGUAAACAGACUCUUCUCUGCUUGAAAAUAGAGACUCGAGUUUCUGCUUUGGAAGGUGUCCACCCUCCUGAAGUGUCCUUAAGCAAGACGCCGACUCCCCAGUGUGAGUGCAAGCACGCUAACAAGCUACAAACGCCACAGCUCAUGCAGAUGGCUGCAAAGUGUGUAAAAAACAGCGCAACACAACUUGUUGACGCUGAAAAUUGUUUUUUCUUUUUUUGCACGAAAAUUGUGAAUUUAUUUUUUGUCUGUGAAAAUAAAUCAAAGUUUUUUUUUAAAUGUGGGACUGGAUACCUAAUCUCAGUGGUGAUUUUAUGAAAGCAUUUACCUUGCAGAAAAACAAAACAAAACAGUUUUAUCCAAUUUCAGUUUAUUCAUUUACUUUCAACCUUUUUCUAACAAAGUCAGUCCCAUUGUGAUUAAAAAUCUAAUUUUCAAGGUAGACCUUGCUUUAAAAUUUUGUGGUGGCAUGUGUUCAAUAAUUUUGUACUCAUAAAUACUCAGAUUUUGGUUCACAUUGGCUGUUGUUGCAAUUUUUAGGAAGAAUGUGGUUUCUAGGGUUAAAGCUCCUGUAAGGAAUUUUUUAACAUGUAUGAAAUACUCUCAAAUAUACAUUGUUGCUUUUUUAUGAUACACACACAAAAAAGACCUUCACUGACAAGAUAUACAAAUUUAUAUUGUAAUUUUGAAUGUCUAAAACUAGUGUGAGAGGGUAGGUGUCAGAAACAGCCAUGCUAUUUUUUUAUUUUUAUUUAUUUUUACAUAUUUUACAAUAAAUUAUACAUUUGAGUAUCAAAAAUCAGCAGGACAUUUUUUUUAAGAAUUACAAUUUUUUCUUUUUUUUUUUAUUUUUAUUUUAUAGUUCAGAACUUGUUCGUUAAGCAUGUAGGGACUACUUUGACCAUAGGGGGGUGCCAAAGAUACACAUUGAAAGAUCCUCACAGGAGCUUUAAUUUUUCAAGUUACGGUUGGUUAAAAAUGUUGACAGUUUGUAGUCUAUUGUGUAGAUUCAGACAGCGGUAAGCAAAACUUCUGUACUUUAUGCCUGAAUUUUGAAUUACUUCUUUAAUUAUUUAUGGAUAGGAUUUCAAAACAGUACAUACAACCAAAUUAUUAUCAAAGAGGGUCUUUAAAGUACCAUAGAGCUGAUUAGGACAGUAUGUUAAUAAAUAUACAUGAAUUACAUGAUUAAAGCUCCAGUGGGGAAGAUUUAGCUAGUAAACAAACAAGCUAAAAUGAAUACUGAUACCUCUUUAUGACCUACAUAAGCAAACAAGACCAUUCUCAGAAAUACUGAAAUUGUGGCAGGGGGUAGGUGUCAAUUAAAGUCAAAAUACACAUUUUUUUACACUCUCUGUGACUCAGUUUCUGAAUGGGAUGUGGUAAACACAUAACAAGGGCACCAAAAUCAACACAAACCAAAGUCACCCACAGGAGCUUUAAUGCAGGAUACAAAGUGGAGGAGCUACAUAGAAGAAUGAGAGUGUCUCAAAGCCUGAAAACCUGAAAAAUGUGCAAAUAUAAGAGCAGAUACUUACCUAAAUCAACCUUGUCAAACUUUAUUUAAAUACCCGGGGAAGUUGUGCUUAAUCAUCAUGAGCUCUGUGCGGAAGCUCAUUCACCUGCUGCAUUAAGAAAUCAAUCUUGUAAUGAGUCCAAGCAGUAGUAAAAUGGAUCUAAUGGCUCAGAGCUGCAGUUGGUGAUAAGAGCUUAUUGAAAAGUCACUUCUUUGAUCCAUAACACAGCCACUAUGUGUCUUUAUAAUACAAAAAAAACCUUUCUGAGUACAUUGGGGAAAUAAAAGUGAAGCUAAAGCUGACGUAAAUACAGUCUGACCAUAAGGAUUGGAAAACCCUCAAGUGCCUGAGUGCAUGUGCCAGCGGGGACACUUCCAGCAGUCUAUGAUCGUUGACAAUUUCGUAUAACACUGAGGUUUCUGGAAGAAGCCCAGCGCUCUGUUGUUUACAAGACAAGUGCUUUUUACCUGCCAAGCCACAGCAUCUGCUCCCGCUCCUCUUUUUCUCCUCCUUUUUUUUUUAAAGCGGCGACCGAAGCAGCCACGAGCUUUGAAGGACAACUAUUUCAAUCCCUUUGAUUUCAAACUUUGGUUUAUUUAUAGAGGCUUUUAUAACCCAAAUAAAGCCUCGACAUCGUGUUUUACUGGAAAAUCAAAAGGGAACACUCGAACAUGAACACAUGCAAUCUUCUUCUAUCUUGUGCCAUUAUAUUCAUGAUGUUACAUCAGCAGUUAAAAACCCCAUCAUGCUUGUAAUUGCCGCCAUAUUGUCCUCUUCUUUCCACCCCUCCCUUUAAUCAUGUUACUAAAUCAGUGGGUCACAUCAUCGAGCAUUGACAAAGCAUUUCCUCUAUAAUUGGCUGCAGUGGGCCGAAUUCAUGAUAACCCAGAGGACGGCUGACAGCAUUUCAAACAAGCUGGAGAGAAAAGGAGCCCUUCCUUCCUCCUCCUCCAGCAGCAUGUAGCAACGAGGAGGGGAUGAAGAUGAUGUAACUUCAAAUCUUAAUGAUAGAUACUGUGUGUUAUAUCACGCUACAUUAUGGCAAUAACCAGCCAGAGCCUUGAGGGGGGUGUCAGAUUUAGGGGAAGAACGAGAUUGUGUUUGUCCAAUACAACCCGGUUUGACUUAUUUUAUAACAGAGAUGGUGAAGAUUUAGUGCUUUGAAAAGCCAGUAAACACAAUAAGACAUCUGAGCUCGUAUGUGUGAGCUAGAUGUACAAAAUUGAUAUUAAAGCUCCUGUGAGGAUUUGAUUAAGUGGUAAAAAACAGGAUAAAAUUAAUAAUGAGGCUUAUUCAUGACUAUGAUUAUUUCUAUGUGGUGAUUUUUCGUUUGCUUUAAGUGCAGUAAAGAAGGUCAGGUAAUUUAAAGCACAUUGAAGAAACAGCCUUUCCUUUCUUUAUUAUACCACAUUCGUUGAGUAGCAUUUGGAGCUAUUAAAAGAAAACAUGAUUGACACACGUUCAGGACAGGAAACAUCAAGAUUUAGUGUUGUGUCGUUCGCGAACGAUUCGUUCACAAGAACCAAAUCUUUAAAGUGAACAUACUGAACCGAAUCACUUCCUCAAGAGAUUCGUUCAUUUCUCACUGAAAAAUGAUUCUAGUGAUUCAGUACAUCUAAAAGAACUGGUGUGCCCAUCGCUAUCAAGAUUGUCACAGGAGCUUUAAAGUUCCUUUUUUUGUUAAAGCUCCUGUGUCGGUUCUGGCACUCCUUUUUGUCCUCUACGCGUUUGGGUAGUGACGCUUGGCAGUCGAUAGCCAAGUGUAUUAUCUAUUGUGAAUAUUUUAUGUAUCAAAAACAGGACUAUUUCUUACACUGCUUUGCUGACACCUACCCCCUCACACGGGUGUGUUCAAGCGUUAAAUACUAGGAUAUAAAAAUCAUGAAUGUGAUCGCUGAUGGUCUUGUUUGCUUUAAGAGAUCAUGAAAAAGCUUGAAUAUUAGUUACAGUCUAUUUUUAUGAAUGUAAAAAAAAAUGCUCAUAGGAGCUUUAAUGUAAUAUUUAUUGUUUACAUUUGUAGUUUACGUGGUUGUCUUAAGAUCCCAGUUCGUUAUUAAUCUCUUUUGCCUUAAAGC
Xyrichtys novacula (pearly razorfish) is the source of this 9377-nucleotide non-coding RNA. The record is from the annotation of a GenBank genome assembly. NCBI's taxonomy places the organism in Eukaryota, Metazoa, Chordata, Actinopteri, Labriformes, Labridae.